GAUGAACGCUGGCGGCGUGCCUAAUACAUGCAAGUCGAGCGACCGGACGAGAAGCUUGCUUCUCUGAUGUUAGCGGCGGACGGGUGAGUAACACGUGGAUAACCUACCUAUAAGACUGGGAUAACGUCGGGAAACCGGAGAUAAUACCGGAUGAUAUGUUGAACCGCAUGGUUCAAAAGUGAAAGACCGUCUUGCUCUCCCUUAUAGAUGGAACCGCGCUGCAUUAGCUAGUUGGUAAGGUAACGGCUUACCAAGGCAACGAUGCAUAGCCGACCUGAGAGGGCGAUCAGCCACACUGGAACUGAGACACGGUCCAGACUCCUACGGGAGGCAGCAGUAGGGAAUCUUGGGCAAUGGGCGAAAGCCUGACCGAGCAACGCCGCGUGAGUGAAGAAGGUCUUCGGGUCGUAAAACUCUGUUGUUAGGGAAGAACAUAUGUGUAAGAAACUGUGCACAGCUUGACGGUACCUAAUCAGAAAGCCCCGGCUAACUACGUG
RNAcentral lists this ribosomal RNA (497 nucleotides) under uncultured bacterium. RNAcentral's name for it is "partial 16S ribosomal RNA". It matches the Rfam family "Bacterial small subunit ribosomal RNA", at positions 28 to 507 of the family's 1533-position model. The record is from RNAcentral.